CCACUACCAUACAUACGGGAGUCGGCUAAGAAGCUUGUCGUCUAUCGAUCAUCUAGAUAGCAUCUAGUGCUGCCAUAACCUUCUCCAGCUCUGUCCUCUUGCUUAGAGCUAGUAAAACUAGUUGAUGGCUUCUGCUGCCAGCACCCUGCAUCAGAAGGACGUCGUCGCCGUCUGCCUCAUGAUGAUUCUGCUAUCCACCGGCCCAUCGGCGAUGGCCUACAUACAGCCAAAUUGUACAGCUGACUGUGAUGCUGCGUGCAGGGCCUACGGACAGGCGGCGUGCAGGAGCAACAACGGCGCCUGGUGCCAGAAACUGCAGGAGUGCGAGGAUCAGAUCUAUUUCCCCUGUUGUGUUACCUGCAACAAGCGCUGCAACAGCACGCCGAUACAGUGCUGAAAAUGCGCGUUGUUGUCAAGCUUGAUUGGAUCGAUAGAUUCGAUUCGCAUGAUUUUAUGUGUUCGUCUAGUACUGAAUUCGUAUUACUACUGGCACCCCUGCUGGCGUACUGAGGUGUCGUACUUCGGCGUGAAAUUUGUGUCUGCUCGCGUUUUUCUCUACCUACAUAGGAGUAUCUAGUUCGGUCGUACGUCUUCCCAUGUGUUACUGGUCUCACUGUAAUUCAUUGUUAUAAUAAAAUGUCAAAUAUUGUUGCAGUGAUACUUAUCCUUUAGUCGGGAAUGAUUAAUUGAGUUUUAUUUCUGUGUUUUUCACUAGGUUAUAAAAGUUCAUUAGUGACCAGUCUAAUGAAGUAUAAUUUGAAUAUAGGCGGGAGCUUGAUUGCUAACUAAUUACCGACAAGGAACAACUUUUUGAUCGUCUUUCUUUUUGAUGGACGGGAGAUGGAGAGACAUGGAGAGACAGUUUGUUUCAUUUCAUUCGUUACCCGGAACGGAAGAUCGUACCGCUCCAUAAUCAGAAGCACGAGAAGCAAUAAUGGAGGAUGGUCUAAGCUUGGUACUAGUCACUUGUCGCAGAAGAUCUGUAAGGAAGGAAACUUUCCAUGAGGACAUCAUCACAGUAGAUAUACACAAGAUAUUCCCUUCACCAGGGAUGGACAUAAGCCUAGGGCCACUAAUGGGCUAAUUGGAG
RNAcentral lists this long non-coding RNA (1090 nucleotides) under Setaria viridis. Its description in RNAcentral is "long non-coding RNA (SVIR_LNC006808)". Lineage: Eukaryota; Viridiplantae; Streptophyta; Magnoliopsida; Poales; Poaceae. The record is from RNAcentral.